CCCGCCUGUCUUGCUGUACCCUAUGCAGCAGUUGCAGAGAGACUUCAGGUCCCUCCCUCCAUCAGCCAGUACAGCUUCAUUCUACUGAACUGGAAACUCAAGGACCCCCAAGGCAAAGUGGAACUAGACAAUAUGGAAUCCAUUGUCACCUUACGUGGUGGUAAAGACGAAUCGUGGUUCUACUGUACAACAGUGCAAGUGGAGCUAGACUUUGCUCCAGCCCUCUCCAGUGUUAUUGAAGCCCAAAAGGCUGUUUUAGAUGGAUCCUCACAGCGAUUGGUGAAGCAUCUUAGGACUAUAGAGGGAGCUGUUCAUAAGAUGAGAAAUACCUUGAACAGAA
This is a long non-coding RNA of Strongylocentrotus purpuratus (purple sea urchin), 340 nucleotides long. RefSeq lists it as uncharacterized. NCBI's taxonomy places the organism in Eukaryota, Metazoa, Echinodermata, Echinoidea, Camarodonta, Strongylocentrotidae. The transcript has 3 exons. The record is from RefSeq and is a predicted model, not a curated record.